This 1066-nucleotide ribosomal RNA is filed under the name uncultured archaeon. Its description in RNAcentral is "bacterial SSU rRNA". It matches the Rfam family "Archaeal small subunit ribosomal RNA", at positions 102 to 1171 of the family's 1478-position model. The record is from RNAcentral.
GGAUAAUCUGCCCUUAGGUGGAGGAUAAUCAUGGGAAACUGAGAAUAAUACUCCAUAGAUCUAUGAUGUUGGAAUACACAUAGAUUAAAAGUUCAGGCGCCUAAGGAUGAGUCUGCGGACUAUCAGGUUGUAGUCAGGGUAAGGACCUGACUAGCCUACAACGGAUACGGGUUGUGAGAGCAAUAACCCGGAGACGAUAUCUGAGACACGAUAUCGGGCCCUACGGGGCGCAGCAGGCGCGAAACCUUCACAAUGUGCGAAAGCGCGAUGAGGGGAUCCCAAGUGCUUGCACUUAAGUGUAAGCUGUUUCUUUGUUUAAAAUGCAGAGAGAGUAAGGGCUGGGUAAGACGGGUGCCAGCCGCCGCGGUAAUACCUGCAGCUCAAGUGGUGACCGCUAUUAUUGGGCCUAAAACGUCCGUAGCCGGCUGAGUAAAUGCUUGGGUAAAUCGUGCCGCUUAACGGUACGAAUUCCGAGUAGACUACUCAGCUUGAGACCGGGAGAAGCUAGAGGUACUCCUGGGGUAGAGGUGAAAUUCUGUAAUCCUGGGGGGACCACCAGUGGCGAAGGCGUCUAGCUAGAACGGGUCUGACGGUGAGGGACGAAACCCUGGGGCGCGAACCGGAUUAGAUACCCGGGUAGUCCAGGGCGCAAACGCUGCUUGCUUGAUGUUAGCUGGGCUCCGAGCUCAGCUAGUGUCGGAGAGAAGUUGUUAAGCAAGCUGCCUGGGAAGUACGAUCGCAAGAUUGAAACUUAAAGGAAUUGGCGGGGGAGCACAGCAACGGGUGGAGCGUGCGGUUUAAUUGGAUUCAACGCCGGAAAACUCACCGGAAGCGACGGUUACGUGAAGGCCAGGCUGAUGACCUUGCCUGAUUUUCCGAGAGGUGGUGCAUGGCCGCCGUCAGUUCGUACCGUAAGGCGUUCUGUUAAGUCAGAUAACGAACGAGACCCUCAUCCUUAAUUGCUACUGAUUACUUCGGUUGUCAGGCACAUUAGGGAGACCACUGGCGAUAAGUCAGAGGAAGGCGAGGGCAACGGUAGGUCAGUAUGCCCUGAAUCUUCCGGGCU